Molecule: transfer RNA, 108 nt
Filed under: Didymella pomorum
Lineage: Eukaryota; Fungi; Ascomycota; Dothideomycetes; Pleosporales; Didymellaceae
Description: Peyronellaea pomorum tRNA
Rfam family: tRNA
About the family: Transfer RNA (tRNA) molecules are approximately 80 nucleotides in length.
Source: Rfam by way of RNAcentral
GGGCUCGUGGUUUAGUGGUAUAAUACUCCCUUAGCAUCUCGCAGCUUCCUUGAAGCUCGUCGAAAUCCUGACUGGGAGUGGUCCGGGGUUCGAUUCCCCGCGAGUCCA